UGAGGAAGUCCGGUGCGAAUCCGGCGCGGUCCCGCCACUGUCACCGGGGAGGGUUCCUCCAGUGAAGGCCACGGUCCGUCUCGCGGACGCCGGACGGCGUACGCGCAGGGCUGGAAGGCCGGAGGACUCGCCGAUCCGGGGAGCCAGGAGACUC
Molecule: non-coding RNA, 154 nt
Filed under: Streptomyces auratus
Lineage: Bacteria; Bacillati; Actinomycetota; Actinomycetes; Kitasatosporales; Streptomycetaceae
Source: RNAcentral